RNAcentral lists this unclassified non-coding RNA (234 nucleotides) under plant metagenome. RNAcentral's name for it is "partial contains small subunit ribosomal RNA, internal transcribed spacer 1, and 5.8S ribosomal RNA". The record is from RNAcentral.
UCUCCGUUGGUGAACCAGCGGAGGGAUCAUUACCGAAGUUACCUUCAAAACCCACUGUGAACCUUACCUCUUGCCGCGUUGUCUCGGCGGGAGGCGGUGUGCGUCGCGCGCCCUAGCGGGCCGCGCCGCUCCCGUCCCCGCCGGCAGCGCCAAACUCUAAAUGCACAGCGGACUGUACGUUCUGAUUUACAAAAAAACAAGUUAAAACUUUCAACAACGGAUCUCUUGGUUCUG